Molecule: ribosomal RNA, 499 nt
Filed under: uncultured microorganism
Description: bacterial SSU rRNA
Rfam family: Bacterial small subunit ribosomal RNA
Source: RNAcentral
GAGUUUGAUCGUGGCUCAGGAUGAACGCUGGCGGCGUGCCUAAUACAUGCAAGUCGAGCGAACGGACGAGAAGCUUGCUUCUCUGAUGUUAGCGGCGGACGGGUGAGUAACACGUGGAUAACCUACCUAUAAGACUGGGAUAACUUCGGGAAACCGGAGCUAAUACCGGAUAAUAUUUUGAACCGCAUGGUUCAAAAGUGAAAGACGGUCUUGCUGUCACUUAUAGAUGGAUCCGCGCUGCAUUAGCUAGUUGGUAAGGUAACGGCUUACCAAGGCAACGAUGCAUAGCCGACCUGAGAGGGUGAUCGGCCACACUGGAACUGAGACACGGUCCAGACUCCUACGGGAGGCAGCAGUAGGGAAUCUUCCGCAAUGGGCGAAAGCCUGACGGAGCAACGCCGCGUGAGUGAUGAAGGUCUUCGGAUCGUAAAACUCUGUUAUUAGGGAAGAACAUAUGUGUAAGUAACUGUGCACAUCUUGACGGUACCUAAUCAGAAGG